RNAcentral lists this transfer RNA (62 nucleotides) under Brevibacillus formosus. RNAcentral's name for it is "tRNA-Ala". It matches the Rfam family "tRNA", at positions 6 to 65 of the family's 71-position model. Rfam says of the family: Transfer RNA (tRNA) molecules are approximately 80 nucleotides in length. Their secondary structure includes four short double-helical elements and three loops (D, anti-codon, and T loops). The record is from RNAcentral. Lineage: Bacteria; Bacillati; Bacillota; Bacilli; Caryophanales; Paenibacillaceae.
UGUAGCUCAGUUGGGAGAGCGCCUGCCUUGCAAGCAGGAGGUCAUCGGUUCGAUCCCGUUCA